AGAACAGAGCUAGACAGUUCCCAGAAGCUGCAGUUCUCAGAAAGCCCUGAAGGCAGGAGAUGGCAGCAAGCAGGAGACUCUAUGCAAGCCUGGGAC
This is a non-coding RNA of Chelonoidis abingdonii (Abingdon island giant tortoise), 96 nucleotides long. The record is from RefSeq and is a predicted model, not a curated record. NCBI's taxonomy places the organism in Eukaryota, Metazoa, Chordata, Testudines, Testudinidae.